GUCUUUUUGGUUUGUUAGUUUUUGAUUUUGCUAAGGGACUAGCAAAAGCUAAGUGUGGGGGAAUUUGAUAGGAGCAUUUUAAUGUGGUAUUUUAAUAGUUAAUUCCUCACAUUUUGCUUAGUUAAUUCCUUAACGAAUCGAUUUUUAACUCAAUUUCUAUUUUCUUAGGUACAUUGGAGUAAAUGAUGGUGAAAUAAGCAUUAGGUCCACACUUACCUAUAAAUGGUGGAGAAAAAUGGAAAUGUACUAAAAUGUCAAUUUUACACAUUUUCCUACUCCGGCUAGGAGAAACCAAGCCAAGCAAGGAAGAAGGAGCGGCCGCCGGACCAAAUGAACUUCAAAUGAGCUGAAACUUUCCAGAUCCAUUCUAGACAGCCCAAGGAUCAUUUCUUAUGAAGAGUGCAAGAACUUUUGUUGAGUGGAAGGCCUUCAAACAAUCAGCCCAAUUUUCUACAGAAGCAAAACUGGAAAACUGGACCUGUAAGAGGUCCAACAGCAUUUUCGGCCCAACCACAUGGAAUAAAAAUCUGAAAUUUUACCAGGGUGAUCUACACUCAUAAUGGAACAUUUUUUAUGAAGAGGUCAUAGUGAAAUUGGGAAUGCUUGUUGGAGAAAUAAUUGAAGGAAUAAAGGGGCAGAAACUGAUCUAAAAAACAGCUCAACAUCACAUGUUCAUGUUUCCUACCCACAUGAAGAAAGCUAGAUGCUUUUCUCUUUUUCCUUGGAUAUAUUUUUCUGCUCCAAUAGAUCAUCAUCACUUCCAUACUUCUACACCUUCAUGCCUUGCUUUCAUUUCAUCAUUACUCCAUCUUUUCCAUAUUUUACAAACCACUUUCAUUAUUUUUCUUCCAUUUAUCAUUUCACUCUUCUUUUUCUUCCCUAUAUAAACACCUUCUCCUCUCACUCUAAACAUGAUUCCUUCAUCCAUUCCAUCUUCUUUGUCUCUCCAUUUCCUUUCCAUUUUCCCACAAAAUUCCUUCAUCCAUUUCAUCUUCUUUGUCUCUCCAUUUCCAUUCCAUUUUUCUCUCCAUUCUCUAGUUGCAAAAUUCUGCGUUUUCAAGUAAGAAGAAGAAGAAGAAGAAGAAGGAGCCGGGAAUAUCAUAUCCUCCAUCGUCCACCUUGAAGGCUUGCUUCCAAGAUUCAAGAUUUCAACGUUUCAAGCACUCCAUCUCCAUCUCCAACUCACGGUGUGUACCCUCAAUCCCCGGAAUAGAACGAUCCCUAUUUGCUUAUACUACUAACGAUGUUUUCAGGGUUAAAUUAUGCGCUUGCUUUGAGCGUAUCAAUUUUUGGCGCCGUUGCCGGGGAUUGAAAAAUCACUUGUUUUUGUUUAUAAUUGUUGUAUAUAAACUGUUUGAUACUUAGUUUAAAUUAACUAGGUUGUUUUUUUUAUUGUUGAAUACGAGGUUAAUUGUGAGUUGUAAAUUAAAGAAGGAAUAGGUGAAGUCGUGUUUAUUAAUAUUGGCCUAAACCCCUUAUUGGUACCUAGUUCAGGUCCCUUAAGGUUGAGGGCGGCCUUUAUUAACAUUCAUUGAACUGUCUAACACACUUAGGACCUUUUACAUCCUAGUAAGAAUAUCCUAUGUGAGAUGGUGUCUAGGAAGGGGAUAACGUUCAUGACGGGUUUUUGAAUCCAGAAGUGCUUAUAAAUGGGCCUAGCUCAUGCCAAAAUGGAUUUUUCCUCUCGUGUUCACCCUCCCCUACCUGGCCAUUUCAGUAAGGUUGCCCAACGGAUGUAGGAGGGACUUUGUGUCUAGACGACUAUACUUGGGCCGCACGUCCACUUGAUUUACCGCUUGGAAUUAGAUUUGAUAUCAAUAAUGUUUAUAACAAAAGAAAUACUUGUGCAUACUCUUUACGUGUAAAUUAUUUUGUUGUUUCACACUUUAUACUUGUAAAAAUACUUUUUACGUUUUAUA
Molecule: long non-coding RNA, 1919 nt
Organism: Rosa rugosa (rugosa rose)
Lineage: Eukaryota; Viridiplantae; Streptophyta; Magnoliopsida; Rosales; Rosaceae
Exons: 2
Source: RefSeq, a predicted model, not a curated record